UCGAGUCUUCGGACUUGGGUGGCGCACGGGUGAGUAACGCGUAAAGAACUUGCCUCUUAGACCGGGACAACAUCUGGAAACGGAUGCUAAUACCGGAUAUUAUGGUUUUUUCGCAUGGAGGAAUCAUGAAAGCUAGAUGCGCUAAGAGAGAGCUUUGCGUCCCAUUAGCUGGUUGGUGAGGUAACGGCCCACCAAGGCAAUGAUGGGUAGCCGGCCUGAGAGGGUGAACGGCCACAAGGGGACUGAGACACGGCCCUUACUCCUACGGGAGGCAGCAGUGGGGAAUAUCGGACAAUGGACCGCAAGUCUGAUCCAGCAAUUCUGUGUGCACGAUGACGUUUUUCGGAAUGUAAAGUGCUUUCAGUCGGGAAGAAGUCAGUGACGGUACCGACAGAAGAAGCGACGGCUAAAUACGUGCCAGCAGCCGCGGUAAUACGUAUGUCGCAAGCGUUAUCCGGAUUUAUUGGGCGUAAAGCGCGUCUAGGCGGCAAGGAAAGUCUGAUGUGAAAAUGCGGAGCUCAACUCCGUAUGGCGUUGGAAACUGCCUUACUAGAGUACUGGAGAGGUAGGCGGAACUACAAGUGUAGAGGUGAAAUUCGUAGAUAUUUGUAGGAAUGCCGAUGGGGAAGCCAGCCUACUGGACAGAUACUGACGCUAAAGCGCGAAAGCGUGGGUAGCAAACAGG
This 685-nucleotide ribosomal RNA is filed under the name uncultured Fusobacteriota bacterium. RNAcentral's name for it is "bacterial SSU rRNA". It matches the Rfam family "Bacterial small subunit ribosomal RNA", at positions 69 to 776 of the family's 1533-position model. The record is from RNAcentral. Lineage: Bacteria; Fusobacteriati; Fusobacteriota.